Molecule: ribosomal RNA, 253 nt
Filed under: uncultured bacterium
Lineage: Bacteria
Description: partial 16S ribosomal RNA
Rfam family: Bacterial small subunit ribosomal RNA
Source: RNAcentral
CACGUAGGGCGCAAGCGUUGUCCGGAUUUAUUGGGCGUAAAGAGCUCGUAGGCGGUCUGUUGCGUCUGCUGUGAAAACUCGGGGCUUAACCCCGAGCCUGCAGUGGAUACGGGCAGACUAGAGGUAGGUAGGGGAGAAUGGAAUUCCCGGUGUAGCGGUGAAAUGCGCAGAUAUCGGGAGGAACACCGGUGGCGAAGGCGGUUCUCUGGGCCUUAACUGACGCUGAGGAGCGAAAGCGUGGGGAGCGAACAGG